GAUGAAGAACGUAGCGAAAUGCGAUAAGUAGUGUGAAUUGCAGAAUUCAGUGAAUCAUCGAAUCUUUGAACGCACAUUGCGCCCUUUGGUAUUCCCUAGGGCAUGCCUGUUCGAGCGUCAUUUAAACCUUCAAGCUCAGCUUGGUGUUGGGUGACUGUCCGCUUCACCGCGGACUCGCCUCAAAAUUAUUGGCGGCCGGUACAUUGGCUUCGAGCGCAGCAGAAACGCGAACUCGGGCCCGUCGUAUUGGCUCCCAGAAGCUAUCUUCACAAUUUUGACCUCGGAUCAGGUAGGGAUACCCGCUGAACUUAAGCAUAUCAUAAGCGGAGGA
RNAcentral lists this unclassified non-coding RNA (331 nucleotides) under soil metagenome. RNAcentral's name for it is "partial contains 5.8S ribosomal RNA, internal transcribed spacer 2, and large subunit ribosomal RNA". The stretch from base 1 to 120 matches the Rfam family "5.8S ribosomal RNA", at positions 35 to 154 of the family's 154-position model. The record is from RNAcentral.